GGUGAUGGGUACCAGCCCAUGUUGUGUCUCUGUAUAUAUACAGUAUAUGUACUGUAUGUGUUAUAUUAAUAUUAUUGUAUUUAUAAUUUCAUUUUAAAUAUUCCCUAGUAUUUAAAUACAAAUUUACCAUAUUGCAGUUAAGCUUAGCUAAAUUAGCUAAUACCGUAAAACACAUAUGCAAGGUACAGUAAAUAGGCAGGGCUAGUCAAUACUAAUUAUUACUAAUUCUAAUAAACAAUGUGUGUUUAAAGAGAAUAACAUUUGUUAAAGCUUGUUAAAGCCUCGAAAACAACUUAAGUUUGCUGUUUUCUAGAAUGUUCUGUAUAACGGCAGCCUUUAAAUUAAUAUAGUUUUUAAAUCAAUUAGACAAUAAUAAAGGGCUAAUAACUUUAUUCUCAACUUUCAGCUACAGUACUAAUAUGUCUCGCAGGUCAUUUGGCUCUAAGAUUACAGACACUUAUCUUCAAUUAUCACCUCCAGUAAUGUAGUGGUCUUCUCCCACAGGUGGUCCUCUAUGCGAGGGGGACAUUGAAGAGGCUAAUGGAGUCCUGAAGGUGUUCUGUCCAUGGCAUGACUAUGAAUUUGAACUAAGGACAGGGAAGUCAGGGACCUCUUUACAGCAACAGGUCCACGAAGUCAAGCUGGAGGAUGGCAAUGUGUACGUGAAACACACCAGACGUCUCUCCUUACUGCCUUUUUCUGGAGAUCAGAAGACGGACAACCUCAAACCAGCUGCUUCGUCCAUCAGCCGCAAGUAAGAGACGUUCCACAAACACUAGCCAUUAAAAACAUUCGUAAUCCUUAUGUGUUGAAGGGGAUUGCAGUAAACUCAGGGGGCAACUCAGGGGGCAUUGUGUGCAGUGUGUACAGUGUGUACAACAACAAGUACAGUGUGUACUUGUUGUUGGAAAAGUCGAAUGUUGUUUGUAUAAUUUAGUAACCAUGUUUUGGAGAAAAAAAAUAUGUACCGUAUUUUCCGCACUAUAAGGCGCACCUAAAAUCUGAAAUUUUUUUCAAAAGCUGACUAUGCGCCUUAUAAUCCGGUACGCCUUAUAUAUGGAUCAAUAUUGAGCCGCGACAGGUCUCGCAACUUACGGUAAGCAGCCACCGACUCCAUUUUUCCCCGUAGAAG
Molecule: long non-coding RNA, 1132 nt
Organism: Cynoglossus semilaevis (tongue sole)
Lineage: Eukaryota; Metazoa; Chordata; Actinopteri; Pleuronectiformes; Cynoglossidae
Exons: 2
Source: RefSeq, a predicted model, not a curated record